Long non-coding RNA from Oreochromis niloticus (Nile tilapia), 416 nucleotides. RefSeq lists it as uncharacterized. NCBI's taxonomy places the organism in Eukaryota, Metazoa, Chordata, Actinopteri, Cichliformes, Cichlidae. The transcript has 4 exons. The record is from RefSeq and is a predicted model, not a curated record.
UGUUUGGAAAGACUUCCAGCUUCAUCGCGGAGUUUCUCUCGGUUUGUGGGCUCAUCUAAAGCCAGACACUCACACCUUCAGCCACCAUCGCUCUGGCUGAAGCACCCCAAAGAUGGGCCAACAUCGCCCCUGCUGCCAGCACAAAUGAAGACAUCUGAUUUUGGAAGUAAAAGUCUCCGCCUGAUUGCUACCAUCAAAAAGAAUCGUACUUCAACAGCUCCUGGAUGAGGUCUUCUGCUGCUCUCCUCGCUGAUUAACGGGAGGAGGAGAGUCUGGUGGUGCAGCAGAGCAACAAUUUCAGCCAUUUGGACUCAGCUCAGCCACUACAGAGGAAACAAUGACUUCAACACAAAAGGACCAACAUGGAGCGAGAAGUCAGCGCUCUCAGGAGGCCGACAAACCUCACAGAAGAAAGC